AGUGAACGCUGGCGGUAGGCCUAACACAUGCAAGUCGAACGGCAGCACAGUAAGAGCUUGCUCUUACGGGUGGCGAGUGGCGGACGGGUGAGGAAUACAUCGGAAUCUACUUUUUCGUGGGGGAUAACGUAGGGAAACUUACGCUAAUACCGCAUACGACCUACGGGUGAAAGCAGGGGAUCUUCGGACCUUGCGCGAUUGAAUGAGCCGAUGUCGGAUUAGCUAGUUGGCGGGGUAAAGGCCCACCAAGCCGACGAUCCGUAGCUGGUCUGAGAGGAUGAUCAGCCACACUGGAACUGAGACACGGUCCAGACUCCUACGGGAGGCAGCAGUGGGGAAUAUUGGACAAUGGGCGCAAGCCUGAUCCAGCCAGACCGCGUGGGUGAAGAAGGCCUUCGGGUUGUAAAGCCCUUUUGUUGGGAAAGAAAAGCAGCAGGUUAAUACCCCGCUGUUCUGACGGUACCCAAAGAAUAAGCACCGGCUAACUUCGUG
Molecule: ribosomal RNA, 492 nt
Filed under: uncultured bacterium
Lineage: Bacteria
Description: partial 16S ribosomal RNA
Rfam family: Bacterial small subunit ribosomal RNA
Source: RNAcentral